This 253-nucleotide ribosomal RNA is filed under the name uncultured bacterium. Its description in RNAcentral is "partial 16S ribosomal RNA". It matches the Rfam family "Bacterial small subunit ribosomal RNA", at positions 524 to 776 of the family's 1533-position model. The record is from RNAcentral.
GACGAACCGUGCGAACGUUGUUCGGAAUCACUGGGCUUAAAGGGCGCGUAGGCGGGCUGUCAAGUCUGGGGUGAAAUCCCACGGCUCAACCGUGGGACUGCCUCGGAUACUGACGGCCUCGAGGGAGGUAGGGGCGUGCGGAACUGUGGGUGGAGCGGUGAAAUGCGUUGAUAUCCACAGGAACUCCGGUGGCGAAGGCGGCACGCUGGACCUCUUCUGACGCUGAGGCGCGAAAGCCAGGGGAGCAAACGGG